AUUGAACGCUGGCGGCAUGCUUUACACAUGCAAGUCGAACGGUAACAGGGUGCUUGCACCGCUGACGAGUGGCGAACGGGUGAGUAAUGCGUCGGAACGUGCCGAGUAGUGGGGGAUAACGCAGCGAAAGUUGUGCUAAUAUCGCAUACGUACUGAGGUAGAAAGUGGGGGACCUUCGGGCCUCACGCUAUUCGAGCGGCCGACGUCUGAUUAGCUAGUAGGUGAGGUAAAGGCUCACCUAGGCGACGAUCAGUAGCGGGUCUGAGAGGAUGAUCCGCCACACUGGGACUGAGACACGGCCCAGACUCCUACGGGAGGCAGCAGUGGGGAAUUUUGGACAAUGGGCGAAGGCCUGAUCCAGCCAUGCCGCGUGUCUGAAGAAGGCCUUCGGGUUGUAAAGGACUUUUGUCAGGGAGGAAAUCCCUAGUGCUAAUAACACUGGGGGAUGACAGUACCUGAAGAAUAAGCACCGGCUAACUACGUGCCAGCCGCCGCCGUAA
Molecule: ribosomal RNA, 500 nt
Filed under: uncultured bacterium
Lineage: Bacteria
Description: partial 16S ribosomal RNA
Rfam family: Bacterial small subunit ribosomal RNA
Source: RNAcentral